RNAcentral lists this ribosomal RNA (383 nucleotides) under uncultured eukaryote. Its description in RNAcentral is "partial 18S ribosomal RNA". It matches the Rfam family "Eukaryotic small subunit ribosomal RNA", at positions 592 to 976 of the family's 1831-position model. The record is from RNAcentral.
CAAUAGCGUAUAUUAAAGUUGUUGCAGUUAAAAAGCUCGUAGUUGGAUUUCUGGCAGGAGCGACCGGUCACACACUCUGUGUGUGAACUUGCGUUGUCUCUGGCCAUCCUUGGGAAGAUCCUGUUUGGCAUUAAGUUGUCGGGCAGGGGAUACCCAUCGUUUACUGUGAAAAAAUUAGAGUGUUUAAAGCAGGCUUAUGCCGUUGAAUAUAUUAGCAUGGAAUAAUAAGAUAGGACUUCGGAACUAUUUUGUUGGUUUGCGUUACGAAGUAAUGAUUAAUAGGGACAGUUGGGGGUAUUCGUAUUUCGUUGUCAGAGGUGAAAUUCUUGGAUUUCCGAAAGACGAACUACUGUGAAAGCAUUUACCAAGGAUGUUUUCAUUAA